Long non-coding RNA from Ostrea edulis (European flat oyster), 270 nucleotides. RefSeq lists it as uncharacterized. Lineage: Eukaryota; Metazoa; Mollusca; Bivalvia; Ostreida; Ostreidae. The record is from RefSeq and is a predicted model, not a curated record. The transcript has 3 exons.
GUCACAUUUCAACCUCUGAAAUUGGAGUUCAAACGGAAUUAUUGAUGGCGGAUCCUCGUUCAUGGCAUAUCAGUUUGUUUCCACAAGAUGUACAAAACGCAAUUCGCUACUGGGAAUCAAAGAGAAGAGAAUUUUGACCCAUAGGAGAACGUCAAAGCCAAAAUAUAAGAUUGUGAAAGACAAAGAUUUAUCCACAUCCGGACCUGACCAUACGAUUGAUUCUCUUAUAGUUUCAUUAUUAAAUAUUUUACUUUAUGUAAAUUUAUCACA